Rosa chinensis is the source of this 919-nucleotide long non-coding RNA. RefSeq lists it as uncharacterized. The transcript has 4 exons. The record is from RefSeq and is a predicted model, not a curated record. NCBI's taxonomy places the organism in Eukaryota, Viridiplantae, Streptophyta, Magnoliopsida, Rosales, Rosaceae.
CUCUUUCCUUGUUCACGUCAGACUUGGACAGAGAGAAAGGGAGCCUCGUUCAGCUCUUCCUCUCCACGUUUCCAUCAUGCAAAAGGGCAACUCCUCCAAGAACAUCUCCUCAGACCUUCAAAAGAGAGAACCCAUGCCAUAAAUCGUCACUCACCCUUCUCUCCUCACCUUUCCUCUCGUCCCUGGACACAUCAGUCUGUUUACGAGCCCAAAAACACCUAGUUAGAGACCUCCGAUCAAAAAACGUUCUUCACCAACUUUGUUCGUCUAUGUCUCCUCUAUUCAGCCUCAAAAUUUCAGCUCAUCGGAGUCGAUUUGAGUCCUGUACACCCCUCGAAGCGGAAGCUGUUCCGGAGCAAGCCUGUUCCGGAUUUCUGCUUGAAUUCCCUCUCUUGCUCUACCCGAAUCCCCAACACCUUGCUUGAGACUGAUACAAACAGUUGUCUCUGUUUCACUUUGCAUAUUCGAGAUUGAGCGGACUUCUUGGCCUGCGGCUGGACUCGAUCCAAUCAGCUUCCUCAGCUCUCUUUCCUGUUGAAAUCAUCAAGAGAAACUCACCUUUUUGAUUAGUCUUUGGCUUGAUAUCUUGGUAGGAUCUUGUGAAGUGGUGGUUGCUACAAGGUUGCAUUGAGGCCAAGUGCUGCAAGAGAAAGCUCGAGUUCCAGGAGAGGUCAGUUCCUCCUUGAGCCACCGGUGGUGGGCAGUGUGCACCAUGCCCUUGUUAUCUCCCCUUUGUCUCUAGCCUUGUGAUUAAUGAAUUCCGGAAAGUGAUUGGCUAGAUGGACGGUUGUGAUGAAAGUGUGAAAGAUGAUCAAUUGCCGUGGGAUUGUAGUUACGUGGUGACGAUCACGUGGAAGCGCAAACCGGUUUUAUCUACUUCUUUUAUUCAAAACGAUAACUCAUGUUUUUAAACUUAGAU